UAUGAGAACAAUUAGUGGCAGACGGGUGAGUAAUGCAUAGGAAUCUACCUAGUAGUAUAGGAUAGCCACUAGAAAUGGUGGGUAAUACUGUAUAAUCCCUGCGGGGGAAAGAUUUAUCGCUACAUGAUGAGCCUAUGUUAGAUUAGCUAGUUGGUGGGGUAAUGGCCUACCAAGGCAGUGAUCUAUAGCUGGUCUGAGAGGAUGAUCAGCCACACUGGAACUGAGACACGGUCCAGACUCCUACGGGAGGCAGCAGUGGGGAAUAUUGGACAAUGGGCGCAAGCCUGAUCCAGCUAUGCCGCGUGAGUGAGGAAGGCCUUAGGGUUGUAAAACUCCUUCAGUGGGGAAGAUAAUGACGGUACCCACAGAAGAAGUCCCGGCAAACUCCGUGCCAGCAGCCGCGGUAAUACGGAGGGGGCAAGCGUUGUUCGGAAUUAUUGGGCGUAAAGGGCAUGUAGGUGGUUUGGUAAGUUAAAGGUGAAAUGCCAGGGCUUAACCCUGGAGCUGCUUUUAAUACUGCCAGACUGGG
This 529-nucleotide ribosomal RNA is filed under the name Anaplasma bovis. Its description in RNAcentral is "bacterial SSU rRNA". It matches the Rfam family "Bacterial small subunit ribosomal RNA", at positions 81 to 645 of the family's 1533-position model. The record is from RNAcentral. Lineage: Bacteria; Pseudomonadati; Pseudomonadota; Alphaproteobacteria; Rickettsiales; Anaplasmataceae.